CCUACGGUGUGCAGCAGUGAGGAAUAUUGGUCAAUGGGCUUACGCCUGAACCAGCCAAGUCGCGUGAGGGAAGACUGCCCUAUGGGUUGUAAACCUCUUUUGUCAGGGAGCAACGCCGGCUACGUGUAGCCGGACUGAGAGUACCUGAAGAAAAAGCAUCGGCUAACUCCGUGCCAGCAGCCGCGGUAAUACGUAGGUGGCAAGCGUUAUCCGGAAUGAUUGGGCGUAAAGGGUGCGUAGGCGGCAAAAUAAGUCUGAAGUAAAAGGCGUUGGCUCAACCAACGUAAGCUUUGGAAACUGUUGAGCUAGCGUGCAGGAGAGGUUAGUGGAAUUCCAUGUGUAGCGGUAAAAUGCGUAGAUAUAUGGAGGAACACCAGUGGCGAAGGCGGCUAACUGGCCUGUAACGGACGCUGAGGCACGAAAGCGUGGGGAGCAAAUAGGAUUAGAUACCCUGGUAGUC
RNAcentral lists this ribosomal RNA (460 nucleotides) under uncultured bacterium. RNAcentral describes it as "partial 16S ribosomal RNA". It matches the Rfam family "Bacterial small subunit ribosomal RNA", at positions 338 to 795 of the family's 1533-position model. The record is from RNAcentral.